Molecule: transfer RNA, 76 nt
Filed under: Cyclobacterium marinum
Lineage: Bacteria; Pseudomonadati; Bacteroidota; Cytophagia; Cytophagales; Cyclobacteriaceae
Also listed under: 9 other names
Description: tRNA-Lys
Rfam family: tRNA
About the family: Transfer RNA (tRNA) molecules are approximately 80 nucleotides in length. Their secondary structure includes four short double-helical elements and three loops (D, anti-codon, and T loops). Further hydrogen bonds mediate the characteristic L-shaped molecular structure. tRNAs have two regions of fundamental functional importance: the anti-codon, which is responsible for specific mRNA codon recognition, and the 3' end, to which the tRNAs corresponding amino acid is attached (by aminoacyl-tRNA synthetases). tRNAs cope with the degeneracy of the genetic code in two manners: having more than one tRNA (with a specific anti-codon) for a particular amino acid; and 'wobble' base-pairing, i.e. permitting non-standard base-pairing at the 3rd anti-codon position.
Source: RNAcentral
GAUUCUGUAGCUCAGCUGGUAGAGCAUAACACUUUUAAUGUUAGGGUCCUGGGUUCGAACCCCAGCGGGAUCACCA